CUAGCAACGCUCCUUAACGACCGGAUAGCAUGAAGUAUACAAUUUACUCUGAAGAACCAGUAGAAGAAUAAUGUAGUAAUUCCUUCUGUCCUUAUAGCUCUCGAUCACCCUAGGAUAUGGUUCAACUGUCAAAUCCUAAUAGGCGAUCAACUAUGUGUUCACGUCAAAUAUAAUCGACCAUUGAAUGACCUAAGAAACUC
This 200-nucleotide long non-coding RNA is filed under the name Nicotiana benthamiana. RNAcentral's name for it is "long non-coding RNA (NBEN_LNC028663)". Lineage: Eukaryota; Viridiplantae; Streptophyta; Magnoliopsida; Solanales; Solanaceae. The record is from RNAcentral.